This 498-nucleotide ribosomal RNA is filed under the name uncultured bacterium. Its description in RNAcentral is "partial 16S ribosomal RNA". It matches the Rfam family "Bacterial small subunit ribosomal RNA", at positions 28 to 508 of the family's 1533-position model. The record is from RNAcentral.
GAUGAACGCUGGCGGCGUGCCUAAUACAUGCAAGUCGAGCGAACAGACGAGGAGCUUGCUCCUCUGACGUUAGCGGCGGACGGGUGAGUAACACGUGGAUCACCUACCUAUAUUACUUGGAUAACUUCGUAAAACCGGUUCUACUACCAGAUCACAUGUUGAACCGCAUGGUUCAACAGAUCAAGACGGCCUUCCUGACUCUUUUAGACGGUUCCGCGCCGCCUUAGCUACUUGGUAAGGUAACAGCUUACCAACGCAACGAUGCGGAGCCGACCCGAGAAGGUUGAUGGCCAAACCGGGACUGAGACCACGGCCAGAAGUCUUAGGGGGGCCGGAGGAGGGAAUCUUCCGACAAGGGGGAAAGCCUGACGGAGCAACGCCGCGUUGGGGAAGAAGGUCUUCGGAUCGGAAAACUCUGUUAUUAGGGAAGAACAAAUGUGUAAGUAAUUAUGCACGUCUUGACGGUACCUAAAAAGAAAGCCACGGCUAACUACGUGC